AAACAAAACAAGCAGCAUCCAAGUCCCAAGAAGCUUAACAUUAUUCCCCCUAUCAAUCUCAAUAAUAGUCAUAUAGCAAUUGACUUCAUUUCAAACCAAGAUAUAGUCACAUAGUAAUUGAGUUCAAAACCAAGACCUAACCACACAUUUAUUUAUUUCUACAAAGCUUAGCAACUUGCAUAAACAAGUUUCUAUUUUCUGCUUUGGUAAUUGGUAGCAUACACAUACUAAAACAUAUCUUUCAACUAACAACUAUUUCUUUAGCCACACUGCAGACAACUCUUCAAGAUUAUUUAAUCUUCUGUUCUUCUCCUACAGGUCUUAUUCUAUUAUUAUCUUUCUUGACCACUUUCUACAACUAUAAUUGGAGAAGAGAAGCUCAAUAAGUCCAAUCCUGAGGCAAUCCCAUCUCUGUAGGAAGAUGACAGUAGCAACCCACCUGCUUGGUAACCCCCCCUAGCCUUCUCAUGGAAUUCCUCUGUUGGGUUACUUGAAUCUCUUGUCUACUUCUCACACCUUGCUUCCUUUUAAAAUCAGUGGUAGCAGGAGAGGCGGUUGUGGGGUUCACAAUGCGAGGAUGGAAAACACCAGUACCCCCAGAUUCUCUCACAAUACCACCUCCUCCUCCUCUUAAUGCAAACCCACUUCCUUGAAACGGAUCAAGCCUAUUCUGGAGAGGGUUUCGCUGCCUCUGCAAAACCCUGGGACUUGCUUCCAUGUAGCUACCAACCUGUGGCUGUACUUGAAACUCAUAAAACGGUUCAGACCGAGCCAAAAGGGAUGCAGUUCCGUAUCCAAAAAGUCUAUGACCGAGUUCAGCACCGCCAUUGAAACCAAGGUACCCAGGUGGCAAGCAGCUCACCGAUACAUCCCGAACCGCCAUUUUAACCUUCUGGGAGUUGAGUGGCGGUUUUGGAGGGAGUCUUGAAGGAGUUGAAGAUAAGUGAUUGUGGAGCAAAGAAAGAGCAGCGAAAUGGUCAGCAAGAUCCUCCAUGCAAGAGAGGCGAUAAGGACUGUAUUUUGAGGGAACUUCAUUGAGGAAAAUAUCAGACGGAAGCCAAAGUUCCCCAUCAUCCAAAUUCGGAGGAAACUCCGCCAUUAAAGAAAGAAACAAGAAUAUUGUAAAUGGGUUUUCUGUGUAAAAUACAGUAAGCAAAAGAGAAAGAAAGAGAAAGUGAGACCGAGCCGAGAGCUUCAACUCCAAGGACUGGAACGGGAUAUUUAUGAUUUCUAUUUUUUUUUGGGAAUAGGCGACUGUAGUGAGCAGAGAGAAGGAGAGCCUCUGGUUUCCAAAUAUGACGUUACGAGUUUCUCUCUGUAUGAAAAGGAUAAUUGGAAAGCGAUGGAAAAAGUAAAA
RNAcentral lists this unclassified non-coding RNA (1357 nucleotides) under Hevea brasiliensis (rubber tree). The record is from RNAcentral. Lineage: Eukaryota; Viridiplantae; Streptophyta; Magnoliopsida; Malpighiales; Euphorbiaceae.